GACGAACGCUGGCGGCGUGCUUAACACAUGCAAGUCGAACGGAAAGGCCCUGCUUGCGGGGUACUCGAGUGGCGAACGGGUGAGUAACUCGUGGGUGAUCUGCCCUGCACUUCGGGAUAAGCCUGGGAAACUGGGUCUAAUACCGGAUAGGAGCCAUUUUUAGUGUGAUGGUUGGAAAGUUUUUUCGUUGUAGGAUGAGCUCGCGGCCUAUUACCUUGUUGGUGGGGUAAUGGCCUACCAAGGCGGCGACGGGUAGCCGGCCGGAGAGGGUGGACGGCCACAUUGGGACGGAGAGACGGCCCAGACUCCUACGGGAGGCAGCAGUGGGGAAGAUAGCACAAGGGGCGCAAGCCUGAUGCAGCGACGCAGCGUGGGGGAUGACGGCCUUCGGGUUGGAAACGCCUUUCGCUAGGGACGAAGCUUUUUGUGACGGUACCUAGAGAAGAAGCACCGGCUAACUACGUG
RNAcentral lists this ribosomal RNA (465 nucleotides) under uncultured bacterium. Its description in RNAcentral is "partial 16S ribosomal RNA". It matches the Rfam family "Bacterial small subunit ribosomal RNA", at positions 28 to 507 of the family's 1533-position model. The record is from RNAcentral.